AAUCGGGGGGCAAUAAAUUACAGUACUAGGUGAGAGAAUUAUUAUUUUUGCAUAUUGUUCAUAAGUUUUUUUAUUGUGCAUCUUGUAGUAUUUCGCUAACUACUCAUUUUGUUGUGUGGUGACUCUAUGAUUAAUUCAAUCAAGGGCAUUAGAUGGCACCUACUAAGUGAGAAAAAGGCAAGGAUUUUUUUAUGGUUUAUAUUGUCCGUUACCUAAAAAAUUUGUACCUCUCUGUAAAUAGUUAUAUUUUUAUGAAUAAAUUAUGGAAUAAUCAACAUUAUAUUUUUAUAAAUACCAUUCGAUUAAGUGCAAAAUGAUACAAGGGCACACAUGCCACGACAAACAUGAUAAACAUAGUAUUAAUUGCAGCACAUUCCACUGAAAAAGGCAAGUUUUCUUAAAGGCAUAAAAAAGUCAAGUUACAACGUAUACUCCAUCCGCCAAAAAAAAAAACUCAAUCUAGAAGCAUCCCCUCCUAAUAUAAUGAAUCUAGGCAAUCUAGAUUUGUUGUAUGUGACCCUCUUAGAUUGAGUUUUUUGGGACUAGGAGAGUCAGACUCUCUCCGUCAAAAAAUAUAAGAGAUUUUAGGUGAAUAUGACACAUCAUAGUAAUAUGAUAUAUCACAUUUAUCUGAAAUCCCUUAUAUUUUAAAAUGAAAGAAAUAUUAGCAACUAAUAUUAACUAGUAAACAAAAUAUAGUUAUCAAUUAAAUUGUGCCUAUAAGUAGACAUUUUCACCUAAAAUGUUAAAGAAAUAUUUUGCUUUUCUAAUGAAAGAUGCAUUUCUCAUGCUAUAUGCUUUAGAACAAUUUUACUCUGCUUUAUCUCUUAGUGUCUGUUUUUACAAUUUGUCGGCACUCUCACCAUAGUGGAGUUAGUUAGUCUCUCCUUUAUAUCUCUUUACUUUCACAAUAGUUUCUCUUUUUUUAUGGUCCAAUGGGGCGCCAAGGCGGCCAUCAAAAAAAUCACUGGUUAGAGUGAAAGCAAAUUAAAGCAGAUAAACAUUUUUUGCUUUCCUAAAAUAAUUCAGAUCGCCAUACAUUACACGUGGAUGGUGUCGACGUUUUGAUUUCUGCCUUAUCCAGGACCCACCUGUCUGGUAUAUGUGGCACUGUCUUGUUUGAUCUACGUGUAUCUGUUGCCAUGUGUGGGCUCCUGCAGCCGAAAGCCUCCAAAAGCAUAAUCACUUGAGAGUAGGGAUGAACAUGGCCAUCAUCUUCUCCUCUUUUGGAUGAAAGAAUACAAACUUGCAUGUGGCUAGCAUAUCCCUUUGGCAUUAAAUGAUAAAUAUCAGAAAAUAAACAUAACUUUUCUUCUAGAAAUGACUAUUAUCUCUGAUAUUUUGCAAUAAAGUUGUGUAAAUUACGGAGUAAAAGGGCCUGUUCACUUUGAUGAAAAAAAACUUACCAAUGCUAAAAUUUUGGCAUAGUUGUCAAAAUUUUGGUAACUUGAUAAAAUUUUGGCAGGAUUUCUUAUAUAGUUAUCAAAAUUUGACAGCAAACUAAAUGUAGCCAUUUUUUUAGUAACUUUAUUAAAACUCGGUAAAGUUGAAAAUAGCAUGAAGAGGCCCAAAAUCUAUGUAGUUUGAUGUGGUGUGUUUGUAUAAGCAACAUACAAGUUAAUGGUGCAGUGGACAUCAUGGGAGGGACUUCUCUUGUCUUGUACUGACUAUUGAUUCCAAAAGGAUACACAUCAGCAAAGAGUAAGUGAAGAGCUAGAAGGAUUUGUACAAUAGCUGGAUAUUGAUACUGUAUUUGGACAACUAUCAAAAUUAUAUUUUAGCUGAAUUGGCAACUUACUCACCAGCAAGAUGAAGGCUUGUUGGUCAGCCAUAGGUUGAGCACUAGUGGACCCCAUGGCAUGCAUGGGAGCUUGUAUUAGCACUGGCGACAAAAUAAGCGCCUACAUUUCUCUC
This is a non-coding RNA of Oryza sativa Japonica Group (Japanese rice), 1914 nucleotides long. Lineage: Eukaryota; Viridiplantae; Streptophyta; Magnoliopsida; Poales; Poaceae. The record is from RefSeq and is a predicted model, not a curated record.